AAAUCUUGCAGUUUUGAAGAACUGCAGCACCAUUGCCAAAAAUGAAAUCUAUGGUGCCAUAAAUGUUGCAUUCUCGAUAGAAUUGACGGAGUGAAUGGGCGUAAAGCGUGUCUUGAUAUCCUUCCAUGCUGCACCUGAAAAAGGCCGAUUGGUCCGAAUCCACACGAAGGGCCACACCUUGAAAGUUUUUAGGCCCGGCAGUGUUGCGAAAUGUU
RNAcentral lists this unclassified non-coding RNA (215 nucleotides) under Hevea brasiliensis (rubber tree). Lineage: Eukaryota; Viridiplantae; Streptophyta; Magnoliopsida; Malpighiales; Euphorbiaceae. The record is from RNAcentral.